GAAUUCACUAGUGAUUUGGCGGCGUGGAUAAGACAUGCAAGUCGAACGAGAGAAUUGCUAGCUUGCUAAUAAUUCUCUAGUGGCGCACGGGUGAGUAACACGUGAGUAACCUGCCCCCGAGAGCGGGAUAGCCCUGGGAAACUGGGAUUAAUACCGCAUAGUAUCGAAAGAUUAAAGCAGCAAUGCGCUUGGGGAUGGGCUCGCGGCCUAUUAGUUAGUUGGUGAGGUAACGGCUCACCAAGGCGAUGACGGGUAGCCGGUCUGAGAGGAUGUCCGGCCACACUGGAACUGAGACACGGUCCAGACACCUACGGGUGGCAGCAGUCGAGGAUCAUUCACAAUGGGGGAAACCCUGAUGGUGCGACGCCGCGUGGGGGAAUGAAGGUCUUCGGAUUGUAAACCCCUGUCAUGUGGGAGCAAAUUAAAAAGAUAGUACCACAAGAGGAAGAGACGGCUAACUCUGUGCCAGCAGCCGCGGUAAUACAGAGGUCUCAAGCGUUGUUCGGAAUCACUGGGCGUAAAGCGUGCGUAGGCUGUUUCGUAAGUCGUGUGUGAAAGGCGCGGGCUCAACCCGCGGACGGCACAUGAUACUGCGAGACUAGAGUAAUGGAGGGGGAACCGGAAUUCACGGUGUAGCAA
RNAcentral lists this ribosomal RNA (639 nucleotides) under uncultured Akkermansia sp. RNAcentral describes it as "bacterial SSU rRNA". It matches the Rfam family "Bacterial small subunit ribosomal RNA", at positions 20 to 681 of the family's 1533-position model. The record is from RNAcentral. Lineage: Bacteria; Pseudomonadati; Verrucomicrobiota; Verrucomicrobiia; Verrucomicrobiales; Akkermansiaceae.